AGCUUUGCACAGUGGCAGUAUUGUAGCCAAUGAGGUUUAUCUGAGGCGCAAUUAUUGCUAACUGAAAUACUAGUUGCAAGCUAAAAAGAAGGCAGUCUGCUCUUCUCAUUAUGCUUUCACAAUUUUUAACAAGUUAACUGAGUAAC
The sequence is a small nuclear RNA, 146 nucleotides long. Its record names the gene U4. It matches the Rfam family "U4 spliceosomal RNA". From Rfam's summary of the family: U4 small nuclear RNA (U4 snRNA) is a component of the major U2-dependent spliceosome. The structure of U4 snRNA from yeast and human has been reported. The record is from Ensembl.